Molecule: ribosomal RNA, 90 nt
Filed under: Kudoa scomberi
Lineage: Eukaryota; Metazoa; Cnidaria; Myxozoa; Multivalvulida; Kudoidae
Description: partial 5.8S ribosomal RNA
Rfam family: 5.8S ribosomal RNA
About the family: 5.8S ribosomal RNA (5.8S rRNA) is a component of the large subunit of the eukaryotic ribosome.
Source: RNAcentral
GUGCGAUUCGCAGCGCCUAGUGAGUCAUUAAAAUUUUGAAUGCAAAUGGCAUGUUGGAUUAACGUCCAACAUAUGUCUGGUUGAGUGUUA